Molecule: transfer RNA, 74 nt
Filed under: Salsuginibacillus halophilus
Lineage: Bacteria; Bacillati; Bacillota; Bacilli; Caryophanales; Bacillaceae
Rfam family: tRNA
About the family: Transfer RNA (tRNA) molecules are approximately 80 nucleotides in length. Their secondary structure includes four short double-helical elements and three loops (D, anti-codon, and T loops).
Source: Rfam by way of RNAcentral
GCGCCUGUAGCUCAAUUGGAUAGAGCGUCUGACUACGGAUCAGAAGGUUAGGGGUUCAAGUCCUCUCAGGCGCG